Molecule: ribosomal RNA, 274 nt
Filed under: uncultured bacterium
Lineage: Bacteria
Description: partial 16S ribosomal RNA
Rfam family: Bacterial small subunit ribosomal RNA
Source: RNAcentral
UACGUAGGGGGCGAGCGUUGUCCGGAUUUACUGGGCGUAAAACGCUUGUAGGCGGCCACGCCAAGUCGGAUGUGAAAUCUCCCGGCUUAACUGGGAGGGGUCAUGCGAUACUGGCGGGCUCGAGGCAGGUAGGGGGAAGCGGAAUUCCCGGUGUAGUGGUGGAAUGCGUAGAUAUCGGGAGGAACACCAGUGGCGAAGGCGGCUUCCUGGACCUGUUCUGACGCUGAGGAGCGAAAGCGUGGGGAGCGAUCCGGAUUAGAAACCCGCGUAGUCC